GUCGGGAUAGCUCAGCUGUAGAGCAGA
Molecule: non-coding RNA, 27 nt
Filed under: Gallus gallus (chicken)
Lineage: Eukaryota; Metazoa; Chordata; Aves; Galliformes; Phasianidae
Also listed under: 2 other names
Source: RNAcentral